AUACGGAAGGUCCGGGCGUUAUCCGGAUUUAUUGGGUUUAAAGGGAGCGCAGGCGGAGAUGCAAGCGUGACGUCAAAUUUCGGGGCUCAACCCCGUCUCGCGUCGCGAACUGCGUCCCUUGGUUGCGGGAAGGGGAGGCGGAACUCGUGGGGUAGCGGUGGAAUGCGAAGAUAUCACGAAGAACUACGAUCGAGAAGGCAGACUGCCGGCCCGUCAACGACGCUCAUGCUCGAAGGUGCGGGUAACAAACAGGAGAAGAUACCCUAGUAGUCCGCACAGUAAACGAUGGACAGCCGCGGUUUGGCCUAUAUGGCUGAGCCGCGAAGCGAAAGCGUUAAGUGUCCCACCUGGGGAGUACGCCGGCAACGGUGAAACUCAAAUGAAUUGACGGGG
This 393-nucleotide ribosomal RNA is filed under the name uncultured bacterium. RNAcentral's name for it is "partial 16S ribosomal RNA". It matches the Rfam family "Bacterial small subunit ribosomal RNA", at positions 523 to 918 of the family's 1533-position model. The record is from RNAcentral.